This 468-nucleotide ribosomal RNA is filed under the name uncultured bacterium. Its description in RNAcentral is "partial 16S ribosomal RNA". It matches the Rfam family "Bacterial small subunit ribosomal RNA", at positions 28 to 507 of the family's 1533-position model. The record is from RNAcentral.
GACGAACGCUGGCGGCGUGCUUAACACAUGCAAGUCGAACGGUAAGCCUCUUCGGUUGGGAUCUGCUCGAAAGGCGAACGUGUGAGUAACACGAGCUUAACCCGCCCCUGGGAUUAGUCUAACUUCUGGGGACUAAUGCCGGAUCUUCACCGCUUCUCGUGCGGCAGGGGGUGGGUUGGAUAGUUUCGUGGGUUGGGGAUGGACUCGCGGCUUAUCAGCUUGUUGGUGGGGUAGUGGCCUACCAAGGCCUUGACGGGUAGCCGGCCUGAGAGGGUGACCGGCCACACUGGGACUGAGAUACGGCCCAGACUCCUACGGGAGGCAGCAGUGGGGAAUAUUGCGCAAUGGGCGGAAGCCUGAUGCAGCAACGCCGCGUGCGGGAUGACGGCCUUCGGGUUGUAAACCGCUUUCGCCAGGGACGAAGCGUGAGUGACGGUAAUGGGUAAAGAAGCACCGGCUAACUACGUG